Non-coding RNA from Parelaphostrongylus tenuis, 73 nucleotides. Lineage: Eukaryota; Metazoa; Nematoda; Chromadorea; Rhabditida; Metastrongylidae. The record is from the annotation of a GenBank genome assembly.
GCGUCGGUGGUGAAACGGUUCAGCACACGCUCCCGGAAGGGGUAGGAUCUGGGUUCGAAUCCCGGCUGACGCU